This 951-nucleotide ribosomal RNA is filed under the name Triticum aestivum (bread wheat). RNAcentral describes it as "partial small subunit ribosomal RNA". The record is from RNAcentral. Lineage: Eukaryota; Viridiplantae; Streptophyta; Magnoliopsida; Poales; Poaceae.
AUGGCAGAAUGCUUCAAUAAGGUGCUCAAGGGUGUACGUGCAUUACCCGUGACGGCAAUAGUUCAAUACACAUUUGACAAGAUGAAUGAAUACUUUUUGAAGCACUCAAUGGAGACUGAUAAGCAGAUUGCUGGUGAGAACAAGGAUAAGCACAAGUACAAUUUCCCACCAAAGGUUGAAGAAUGGUUGGAAUUUCAAUCACGAAAGGCAGACUCCGAUGAAGCUGUUCUAUAUGACGACAACGAGUGGAAGUAUGAGGUGAAAGAGCCCGGAGGAACCACAAAUGAUGGCCGCCAACACGGAGGCCGGGCUUUCAAGGUCUCCCUAACACGAUGUGAUUGCAGCUGCAUGAGGCCGUCUUUGCUUCAUCUCCCAUGCUCGCACUUGUUAAAUGCAUCCCGGGUUAGGAAUGUGGACGUCAAUCACCCUCUAACCGUGAGGGAGUCCGAGUUCUCAAUCAUGACGGUAAAGAAGACAUGGACUCCAUGGUUCCAGCCAUACUUGGACCAAUCACAAUGGCCGGAGUAUCAUGGAGUUCAACUAUGGCCGGACCCGGAAUUGAAGGUCGUUAGCCGGGGAAGACGUAAUACUAAGCGUCUUAGACGUGACAUGGACGGAUGGGGCCGUGGUGGCGGUGGAGAAUACGGCACCGGCCAAUUCCAAGAGCCUCGUGAGGAAUCCCAUUGUGGGGGCUGCAGUAAUGAGGGACACAACACAAGAACUUGUCCCAAACCAAGAAAGAGAUCAAAGAAAAAUGGUUCAAGCACAAGCCAAGCAAAUGAUAGCCAACCAAGUGAACCAAGGGGUAGCCAACCAAGUCAAACAAGUGCUGGAGUGCCAAACCACUCAAAUCAAACAAGUCAACGAGGAACUAGGCAACAAAGAGGGAGUCAACUGUUGGGGAAUGUAGUAAUUUCAAAAUUUUCCUACGCACACGCAAGAUCAUGGUGA